This 7785-nucleotide long non-coding RNA is filed under the name Sorghum bicolor (sorghum). Its description in RNAcentral is "long non-coding RNA (SBIC_LNC005251)". The record is from RNAcentral. Lineage: Eukaryota; Viridiplantae; Streptophyta; Magnoliopsida; Poales; Poaceae.
CCUUCAUCACGUUGAGCUUCCUCAAUAAAUAUUACUCCCUGUUUUUAUAUUUUUAUUUUAUAAAGUAGAAAAGAAAUAUUUAUUUUAUUUUUAUGCCACCACAGUGAAGGUACUUAUGGGUUUUACGCCACUCGUAUACUCACAUGGGGCUUAGUAUUUUUUAACAUUUUUAUUUUCUUUUCAAGAUAGCAUGAUUAACUAAUAAUCUAUUUAAGGAAAGUAAAUAAUUAAAGGGAAAAGGGAAUGCAGAAAGGAUAAAUAUGGAUAACUACCAAUCUUACCUUUCGGCCAGGGUUCAAUGUUUUAAGUCUUCUUGACAAGACUUCUCACCGUGUUCAUUCUUCAGGUGCGUCAUUUGAUUCAGGUGCGGACCUUGACGUCUGCACCUUUUAAUACGGUGUCACCUAUGUUCUUUGUUUGCCCAGCUGUUCGAAGUGCGGUGUUAGCAGUAUCUUGCUCAGUGUGUUUGUGCUCGUAGUGUAUCUGCUCAUAGAGACAAGGCAGAGAUCAAGUGCAUGGGCCCUGUUGGUGGAAAACACCAACAGAACCAAAAGUGUAUUUGUUCUUCUCUAACCUUAAGCAUAGUGAGCAAGACAAGUUGAUGGAUGAUAAGUUCAUGAGUAUAGCACUUAUAACAAUUGUCAGAUCAGAUCACUCAACCUUAUGGAAAGAUAAUCUAUCUAUGUAUAUGUCUUUUUCUUUAUAUCUCUCAAUGAUUGAAUGUGUAACAUUUUAGCUCAUAUGAUUAGGAGUGUGGGAUCAUGGAGGUAGUACUAAGAACAAGGAUUAAAGGACUAAACAUGUUGAAUCAGUUGGGUUGGUUAAUCUAGAGUUGUAAAUCAUACACGUUUGUCUCUUUUAUUUAUAUGAAUGCCAGAACCAAGGAGAAGCUUAUAAAAGUGAUAGUCAAGUACCUUAAGAUGUUACCUUGCUCGAAGAGUGAUGGUACAGUAUCAUCUUGUGGAAGCUUUCCUUUCUUAGCGGUUGUGCGUCUUGUUUAUGUACUUUGUCUCCUUCCAUGGAUCAUCUCUGUAUGGUGAAUGAGCUAUGUCCUUCUUGUGCGAAUUGUUAAACUUCAUGUGUUGCUCUCUUCAUCUCUGAUGUGAGUUUAUCUCAGGACUUCCCAAAUUGAUAUUGAAAGUUUUUCUGCAGGGGUUAGUCCGACAAAAUAUACCAAUAUCUACUCAAGCAGUUUUUUAGUUCAAUAACCAAACUAGACGCCAUGUCUAAUCAGAUUAAGGAAGGCUAUUUAACCUAAGCACCAUGCUUAAUUUAAAUGCCAAUGGAAGUAUGGCGAGUACUUCCAAACCAACACUUGCUAGUAAAUAGACAAAGGUAGCAUGACAGCGUUUAUAGAGAUCUACUCAAGUGGAGAUGAAGUAGUGUGAUUAGUAUUUAACAAAUUGAGCAUGUCUCAAAGGUAGGGACAACCAGCAUAGCAACAUGGCAAAGGAUGUUUUUAUGUAAAGUACUCCCCCAAGCUUGAAUUUUGCAAAAUUCAAGUUUGGAUGAAUUUAAUUCAAUGUUGUAUGAUGAUUGGUUGGACAUACCUUGUGCUUGUCAUUCAUCCGAUCUUCUUGCUCCAAUCUUAGAAAGGUUAGUGACAAGAAUACCCGAAGGAAUAUUUUUUUUUACAAUUAUCCUUAUAUGCUUAAUACACAAGGUAAUGUUGCAAAUAAUUAAAGGCUCAUGUUACGAUCUGAUCAAUGCUUAUUUUAAGACACUAAGCUUGUCCUUGGGAAACCAUCAGUUUAUGUUGGCGAAGUGGUUUCCCCUCCGACGCCAACCUAUUUCUAGAUCAACUCAACGAGAUCUGCAAUAUUUAUUAUAGACAUAUGCAUCGACAACCGCCCUUUUAAAGUUUUUAUAAAUAGAAAGGAAGAGGGGGUUGGAGAUCUCAAGUGUGGUGAUGUCGGAGAGACCAAUAGAUUGGGAAGAUGUUGCAUAUGAGCAUGGAGUAAACAAAGUGGCUAUGAAAUAAAUUCCAUGCUCAUUAAUGUUAUCUUCGUCUCCAAUCUGAAUGUUCAGAGUUUCUCCUAGAUUGGUCUCACCUAUGUCCUCUUCUGUAGUUGGAUGAAUCUCAUCUUCAAAAGGAGUCAAGAACUCACCAUUUGAAAUUGAGCCAAAGUCAGAACCCAUUAAGGCUUCUUCCUUAUCCAUCCAUUCUACACAUUCUAGCCAUUUAGAACUUGUGAUCAAAAUAGGGGAGGUGUUAGAAUUUUCUAUAUGGCUUAGCUCUCCUUCACUUGAUAUGUCAUCCUCGACUUCUUCAUGAUAGGAACCAGGACAUUCUCUAAGAGAAACAUUAUUGCAAUGAUUUGAAUUAUCCCUGCUUGAAGGUCUCUUAUAAAACCAGAAGUCUAAACCAUCAGCAUCUAAAAGAUUUAAGGUCGGAAUUCCUUCCUCCCUUGGAGAAUUUUGGGGUAUUGAAGGUUUAGGAUCGAUAGCUAAAGUUCGGGAUUGAAGUGGUUGUGAUCUGGCUAUCGAAACUUCUUCUUCUUGUCUAGGAACUGGUUCUUUCUCUUUCUCAGGGAUAUAAAAGCUAGGAGACUUUCCGCUCAUUAAAUCAAUCAAAUUCCAAGCUUCACUAGCGGAUAGGUGGUGGAAGGAUCCUCCAGAGGCCGCAUGAAGGGUUUGCUUAUUUUCCCUACUAAGGCCCUCAAAAAAGUGAAUUAGAAGAACUUCUUCUGGAAUAGAAAGUUUUGGGCCAGUGAGAGUAAGGUUAAUAAAGCGGUCCCAUGAUUUGCCAAGAGAUUCUUCUUCCAGUUGUCUAAAAGAAAGAAUCUCACGCCGAAGUUCCACCACUUUGGAGAUUGGAAAACAUUUAGAAAGAAAACUACUAUAUAACUCCUUCCAAUCUCCAUGAACACUCCCUACUUUGAGUUUAUACCAAUGUCUAGCUUUUCCCGUUAAAGAGAACGGAAAGAGCUUCCAUUUAAGGGUCUCAUCGGACAUGCCUUCUAUGCGAAGGAGGUCACAGACUCGAUAAAACUCUCUUAGGUGUGUGUAUGGGUUUUCCUCACCUUCUCCUGAGAAAGGUUGUUUUUGAAUAAAUUCUAUGUAUUCGGGGUCUAUCUCAAAACUAGAUGCUAUGAUAGGCUUUGAAGAUUUUGGUGGUUCGAGAUGUGUGCCCAUAGGUCUAUGAAAUUCAUAGAUAGACAUGUUUGAAUUCAUAAUAGACCAGAGAUCAAGGAUUAGAUAAGAAGAAAGAAUAGCAGAGAUGAGGCAAAGGAUAAAAGGAAAAUAUUUUUAUUAUUAUUUUUUUUAUAAAAUGAUUAAACUAGUUCGUAGUCAACUCAGCAACCGUUUCCCCGGCAACGGCGCCAAAAAUGCUUGUUGACACUUGCUAACACCACUUGAAUACUAGGUUGUCAUCCCCAGCAUGGCACUAGAGUGUACUAUGGUAUUUAUACGCACACAGAUAAUCCGCAAGCGCACGGAUACCGUUGAAGCUUUUACCCGGUUAAAGAUUUUAUCGUAUCCACAGGGAAACGGGAGAACUGAUCUACGCUCUAACUUAACCAAGAUAAGUAAAUAGGUGUGAAUAGGAAAGAUGGUAGAAUCGAAUAAGAACAAUAUUAAAGGUAAGAUAACAGUGAGUGAUAAUAUGGGAAUAGAGAGUAGAGCAAUUCUAGUAUAUGGGCGAUGGUAGCAGAAUAGAGAGGAUAACUAUGGUUUCUCUACUUCAAAGGGGUAUGUCUAUGUCUGGGACGAACCGCGUGAUAAGAGUACACCACAAAGGAUGCUUAUCCAUAGGCCGAUAAACCCUACCCGUCCUGCUAACGAGAGGUGGACUACAGGGGACCAACGUAACUGUCACCUACGCGGCCUACCACACGAUCCAGCUAGCCAGGGGAUAUCCACAAGUAAUCUAGGUCUAAGCACCACGCUUACACCUAUACUACAACUCUAACCUAUAGGGUCCUAUAGAUUAGAAGUACUCAAAAGAGUUGUGAACCAGAACAUACAUGAUUAGUAAUUGCAUAAUGAAUUAGAAGUAGAUUACCAGAGUCAUCCCAUGAGCAAGCUUGAUUAGAGCUUGAUCAUGACGAAGUACAACCGGAGGAAGAACCGACAGGCCGGCCUCUCCUCUAAUCCUCCUUCGCUCUCCAUCUCGCUACUAUCUAGAUCUACUCUAGUUUAGAGAAGAGAGGAGAGCUCUCAUCUCUAAACCCUAGGUUUUGCUCUGUCUAUGAAUAAUGAAUAAUGAUCAAGGGGUGCCUCUUCUAGGGGCCAGGGGGUCUACUUUUAUAGUCCCCUCAAGUGAACCUGGGCCGUCGGAUCAAACCGACAUUGAUUGAACGGUUAUUCUUGAUCCUUUAGGUCGGUGGAGCAUAAUCCGCGAGAUUGAGCAUGAUUGGCCGAAAAAGGUGGGCGGGCGCCCUAAGGACUUGGGCGGGCGCCCUGUCCCUGACUCCGUUCGGUCUCCGCUUCCUUCCCGUGGCUUCUGGAGUCUUCUAGAUGUAAUAUAAUUGCGCGGCACGUUGAUAUCUCUAUGUAAUCCCGACGUGUGGGUCUUUCUUCCUUAUUUCCUGAUAAUCCCCUGCAGAAAUAGACAAACACCAAAACUCGUGGAAUUCUGUCAGAUAAAACCCUAAGUCUUGAUGUUGAUUUCAUUUGGAUCCUUUUCUUUGUUUAUUUGAUAGUUAAAUUUGAUACUUAAGGACCGUCAACAAACUCCCCCAAGCUUACCUCUUGCUCGUCCCUGAGCAAGGAUAGACUCAGCAAUGGAUCAGAAGUUGUUGCAAUAUCUUAAAAAUUUGACGGUAGACAUGCUUUUUAAAUAAGUUCUCAUCUCUGAGUUAGAGUAAACUGUCAAGAACUAAAACUUACUUACUUUACCUUUCACCAUGGGACUUGUAACCGUCACUUCUGUCUUGAGUAGUUAAAAGAUAGAACAGUCUAGCCAAGUGCCAUGUCUCUUAUUCUUGAUCACCUAUAGCUCUGGAGUUUUUGCAGAUUUUCAAAUAAAACUCAGAGAUUCCUUUGUAUGACUCUCUCAUAUCUCUCUUUUGUGGUAUUUCUGGAUCCUUACCAAGGCAGUGAUGGUAUAUGCCUUCUCUCAAAAUAUGUGGUAUUUGUGGUAUAAGGCAUAGUGACAUUGCCUUCUCUCUCACCCUACUCUAAUAAGGCUUUAAUAUCUGGAGCUCAUAGGUGGGAGAUAAGGUAUACAUACUUACAAGACAUUUAUUGUAUAGUCAAACCAUGGAUCCAAAGAAACAAAUCAAUAAGCCAAAUCAAGAUGUGCAUGUGUGGCGAAUGAAUGGUGUAUAGUGAUGAUGGUGAUAACAAUGGUGAAAGUCUAAUUCUACUUUUGCUCUUAUGAGGGGAUACAUACAUUUCCUUUCUUUUUGAAACUUUAUGAGGAGAAUGAGAUGCUCUUCUUUUUCUUUCCUCUCAGGUGGGUAUCUUGUACCCCUAAUUCUACUGUCGGACACUUGUCCAUUUUUACCACUCGUCUCACUUUUUCUUUCUUUCGAGGUUCCGGGCACUUGCCCCUUUUUAUUUCCUCGUUUAUUAUUAUUUUUUUCUUUUCUUCUCUCUUGUUUUCUUCUUUUUUUUUCAGAGCACUCAUCUCCUAAAAUAAUGUAGCAAGUGGUAGUAACCAAAAUAACUGGAGCAUUUAUUUCACAGGGAAUAACAGGGAUAGGAAAAUGUUUUUGGCUAUUCUCUCCCGGAUUAGGAGUAGAAUGAUUUUGGGUGAAACUGGAGAUGGAAAUGGAUGGAUAUAUGUGGAUGGUACUUCCGAAGUAGAAGUAGCAUAUAUGAGUGAACGUGCAAGUGAAUCUUGAUUUAACCACAAGACAAGCUCCUAAGGGUCUACACAGCUUGACCACACUCAAUGCUCAUAAGCAGUAAAUAAAUGUGUGGCUCAAAGUCUAGCAAGCAUGUAUAUAUGGCUGUGGUAGGAAUUUAAACUUUCAUCAUACAGGAACUCAUCAUGCAAUAUUUUAAAGAUUUUCAAAGAUAAAAUUCUCCAGAAUUCUAGCAUCUCUAGGAAUAGAUAAACAGCAGCUCAACCUUCCCAUAUCAUAUCUGUUAACAACUUAGAUUUCAGAUCAAGUUUUCAUCCCACAAGUUUAGAUCUAGAGCAAGCUUUAAAUUAUAACAGUUAUGUCUAAACUUGAGAGAGAACUUCAAAUUUGCAAAUUAGGCAGAGCAACUAUUUAUCAUAUCCAUGCUAGAGUUUUAUUAUUAAGAUUCAGAUUAGCAUAGCCACUUUAUUUAUUUAUUAAACACACUAAGCAAAAGAUAUAUAUAUAAGCACAAAAUCUUUAUUUGGUUUUCAUAGUUUAUGUAUUUUAAUAUUCUAAUAUAAGUAUAAAGAUAGGUAGAAAUACUUAGCGAGAUAAAUGGGGGUGCUCUCCCCCAAGCUGAAUUUUGACGUAAUUUCUCUUGAUGUAGCUAGCAGGUGGCAGAGGUGUAUUUGAAAGUCAGCAGCAUUCUGACAGCGAUUAGAAUGUCCUCCGUCUGCUAGUUUUCUUGAUUCUUAAAUUCUGUGGAGUUCAAAUAGACAACAAAGCUUGUGGAACUAAUUAAGUGUUAGCAUAAAUAUCUAGCCUUCAUCACGUUGAGCUUCCUCAAUAAAUAUUACUCCCUGUUUUUAUAUUUUUAUUUUAUAAAGUAGAAAAGAAAUAUUUAUUUUAUUUUUAUGCCACCACAGUGAAGGUACUUAUGGGUUUUAUGCCACUCGUAUACUCACAUGGGGCUUAGUAUUUUUUAACAUUUUUAUUUUCUUUUCAAGAUAGCAUGAUUAACUAAUAAUCUAUUUAAGGAAAGUAAAUAAUUAAAGGGAAAAGGGAAUGCAGAAAGGAUAAAUAUGGAUAACUACCAAUCUUACCUUUCGGCGAGGGUUCAAUGUUUUAAGUCUUCUUGACAAGACUUCUCACCGUGUUCAUUCUUCAGGUGCGUCAUUUGAUUCAGGUGCGGACCUUGACGUCUGCACCUUUUAAUACGGUGUCACCUAUGUUCUUCGUUUGCCCAGCAGUUCGAAGUGCGGUGUUAGCAGUAUCUUGCUCAGUGUGUUUGUGCUCGUAGUGUACCUGCUCAUAGAGACAAGGCAGAGAUCAAGUGCAUGGGCCCUGUUGGUGGAAAACACCAACAGAACCAAAAGUGUAUUUGUUCUUCUCUAACCUUAAGCAUAGUGAGCAAGACAAGUUGAUGGAUGAUAAGUUCAUGAGUAUAGCACUUAUAACAUUUGUCAGAUCAGAUCACUCAACCUUAUGGAAAGAUAAUCUAUCUAUGUAUAUGUCUUUUUCUUUAUAUCUCUCAAUGAUUGAAUGUGUAACAUUUUAGCUCAUAUGAUUAGGAGUGUGGGAUCAUGGAGGUAGUACUAAGAACAAGGAUUAAAGGACUAAACAUGUUGAAUCAGUUGGGUUGGUUAAUCUAGAGUUGUAAAUCAUACACGUUUGUCUCUUUUAUUUAUAUGAAUGCCAGAACCAAGGAGAAGCUUAUAAAAGUGAAAGUCAAGUACCUUAAGAUGUUACCUUGCUCGAAGAGUGAUGGUACAGUAUCAUCUUGUGGAAGCUUUCCUUUCUUAGCGGUUGUGCGUCUUGUUUAUGUACUUUGUCUCCUUCCAUGGAUCAUCUCUGUAUGGUGAAUGAGCUAUGUCCUUCUUGUGCAAAUUGUUAAACUUCAUGUGUUGCUCUCUUCAUCUCUGAUGUGAGUUUAUCUCAGGACUUCCCAAAUUGAUAUUGAAAGUUUUUCUGCAGGGGUUAGUCCGACAAAAUAUACCAAUAUCUACUCAAGUAGUUUUUUAGUUCAAUAACCAAACUAGACUCCAUG